This is a long non-coding RNA of Physella acuta, 288 nucleotides long. RefSeq lists it as uncharacterized. The record is from RefSeq and is a predicted model, not a curated record. Lineage: Eukaryota; Metazoa; Mollusca; Gastropoda; Physidae.
GUUUCCUGUUCUACUCUGGCACUACAGUGGACUAUACGUUUCCUUGCUUUUAACAUGCUGUGUCAAUCUGUUUCGAUAGUCAGACCAAAACCUGUUCUACAAUGGAGGAAAACACGGAGCUUAACGUAACAAACAAAACAGGAACUGACCACUACUAUACGGAUGACGAAAACACUGACUCGGAAUAUCGUAGAAUGAUAAUGAUUUACUGUUACUUGUAUGGAGGUUCUAUAAAUUUAGUUAUUCUGACUUCUGCUGUGAGCGUGCUGGUCUGCUGCAAGUGAGUAA